UUACACCAACAACGCCAGGGUAUUACGAGCCUCAGCUUAAAACCCAAAGGACUUGACGGUGUCCCACCCAACUAGAGGAGCCUGUUCUAUAAUCGAUAACCCCCGAUACACCCAACCCCAUUUUGCAAAUCAGCCUGUAUACCUCCGUCGCAAGCUUACCAUAUGAAUGUCAAUAGUAAGUUUAAUGGUAGUACACCAACACGUCAGGUCAAGGUGCAGCUCAUGAUAGGGCAAGCAAUGGGCUACAAUUUCUAACAUAGAAUACACAGAAUGCUUCAUGAAAUACAGCAUGAAGGUGGAUUUAGUAGUAAAAA
Molecule: ribosomal RNA, 314 nt
Filed under: Limnonectes kuhlii (Kuhl's wart frog)
Lineage: Eukaryota; Metazoa; Chordata; Amphibia; Anura; Dicroglossidae
Description: partial 12S ribosomal RNA
Rfam family: Bacterial small subunit ribosomal RNA
Source: RNAcentral